RNAcentral lists this ribosomal RNA (480 nucleotides) under uncultured bacterium. Its description in RNAcentral is "bacterial SSU rRNA". It matches the Rfam family "Bacterial small subunit ribosomal RNA", at positions 9 to 471 of the family's 1533-position model. The record is from RNAcentral.
GAGUUUGAUCCUGGCUCAGGAUGAACGCUGGCGGCGUGCCUAAUACAUGCAAGUCGAGCGAACAGAUAAGGAGCUUGCUCCUUUGACGUUAGCGGCGGACGGGUGAGUAACACGUGGGUAACCUACCUAUAAGACUGGAAUAACUCCGGGAAACCGGGGCUAAUGCCGGAUAACAUUUAGAACCGCAUGGUUCUAAAGUGAAAGAUGGUUUUGCUAUCACUUAUAGAUGGACCCGCGCCGUAUUAGCUAGUUGGUAAGGUAACGGCUUACCAAGGCAACGAUACGUAGCCGACCUGAGAGGGUGAUCGGCCACACUGGAACUGAGACACGGUCCAGACUCCUACGGGAGGCAGCAGUAGGGAAUCUUCCGCAAUGGGCGAAAGCCUGACGGAGCAACGCCGCGUGAGUGAUGAAGGUCUUCGGAUCGUAAAACUCUGUUAUUAGGGAAGAACAAAUGUGUAAGUAACUGUGCACGUCUUG